Molecule: small nuclear RNA, 107 nt
Filed under: Meriones unguiculatus (Mongolian gerbil)
Lineage: Eukaryota; Metazoa; Chordata; Mammalia; Rodentia; Muridae
Source: RNAcentral
GGGCUCAUUACGAUGGCAGCACAUAUGCUGAAGCUGAAAUGAAACAGAAGGUAGCACGAUCCUUAUGCAAGUAUGACACAUAAAUCCAUGAAGCAGGCCAUAUUUAA